Molecule: non-coding RNA, 232 nt
Filed under: Paenibacillus sabinae
Lineage: Bacteria; Bacillati; Bacillota; Bacilli; Caryophanales; Paenibacillaceae
Source: RNAcentral
CAAAAUAUAGUAGAAUCAGGUGCUUGACUCUCUGACGGAGAGUUCGAGCUUAAUAGGGAAGCGCGGUGCGAAUCCGCUGCGGUCCCGCCACUGUAACCGGAUGCCCCUCCUCAGGCGAGGACGAGGGCGGCAUCUUCCGGCAUAGGGCCACUGAGAGCGCAAGGCAGCUCUUCGGGAAGGCGCCGGAAGAACAGACGGAAGCCAGGAGACCUGCCUGUUUCUUAGAGACACC